AAAAGACAGACACACCAAUGAACACAUCUUAUAUAUUGCAUUAAUCAGCUGUCUGGUCUUCCCGAAAGUCCUUCACUGUUCUGCUGGUGUAGCACACAGGGGUCCAAUGAGAGCUCCACUGGAAGAGGUGACCUUUUUGGCGGAAUAAGAUAGAGAGAGAAGAGGAGAGGGGAAUCAGGGAGAAUGGGGGACAAGGACAAAGAGCAGAGGAAUGCAUUUCCCAUAGCCUAGCUGACCUCUCAAGAGGACUGACUCUGAAUAAUUACAGUCCUGCUCACCUGCUUCCAGAAGGGGCAUGAGCAGACUAGGGAUGUCAGGAGAACCGAUACUUCGGUACCAAUUCGGUACCAACAUUCUUAAAACGUGACAGUACUUGUUUUUCUGCACUAACGUUGGAACCGAUUCUAAUAGAGGUACCAAGAUUACAAUUCUUCCGGACCUGAUCCAGGCAGCAAAUACGCGCAAGUGUUUUCGUCGGUCCACAAGUGGCAAAGAAGAAGAAGAACGCCCACAAGCACACGAUGGUGGAAAAAUGUAUGCAGACACAGAGAGCACUCUCCAGGAACUCCAGAAAAUCCACACAGACAGUAACCUGAGCUCAAUAUCAAACCCAGAACCCUGGAGUUUGAAGCAGUGUGAAGCAGUAAUGCUACCCACUACACCACUGUGCCACCCCACCACAUAGUAUAUAUAAGUUUAGACAUUAAUAGUUCACAAAUCUACAAAAUUAUAUCAAAGUAUUUUCAUUUCUUAAUUGCAUCUUAAUCUCUCAACGUGAUAUUAAUAUUCUUUAAUAAGAUGUAUGCUCACCAUUUCCCUUUGUCUAUUUGUGUGUUCUCUAAACAUAUUUAGGUUUCUUUGAGUUGCAAGUCAUUCCCCCAAUUUACCUGACAUACAAAAUCUAUCACAACAAUGUCAUAGACAGCCUUUUUCCAAUCUGAGUGAGAGGAUCAUGGGUCGCAAGGAAGCCUGGAGUCUACCCCUGGGAACACGCAGGGCACAUGCACACCCCCAUUCACACACUAUAGACAAUUUGGAAAUGUCAAACAGCUUACCCCCAUGUCUGGGGGAGGAAAGUGGACUACCCGGAG
Molecule: long non-coding RNA, 1091 nt
Organism: Ictalurus punctatus (channel catfish)
Lineage: Eukaryota; Metazoa; Chordata; Actinopteri; Siluriformes; Ictaluridae
Source: Ensembl